GAAAUGAUUAUAUUUUGCAAUGGAAGGAGUACAACAUUUUCAAUACCCACUAUCCAGCCAUAGAAAUAACUAAGCAAUUUUUUUUAAGUCUAUACCCAUAUUGUUAAUAUGAGAAAUAUACUCACAAGAGAUGUUCUACGCAGAACAAGAAAACUUCAGACUUACCAGCAUUCAGUAUAUGCACAUUACAUUAUUCAAAGAUUUACAAAUAUACCUAACUUGUAAAAGUAAUAUCUGCUAAUGCUACAUAAACAGAUACAUAGCCAUGCAUGGCCCUCUUUUAACUCACUUGAGAGUUAGAACACAUGCUUCUAAAGAACAUAUAGGUUUUACCUAGACUUUCAUAUGCAAUUAUGCAUUCUUACAACACCCAAACAAAUCAAAAACGGAACCACAAAACACUAAAAAAAAGACCAUGCUUGGACAGAGAUCGACCAUAACCAUGGCACUCUCGUUUCUCUUAGCGACAAUCUAUUUUUUUUUUCAGACCGUCCACAGUGCUACCGGAAAAGAAAAUAGCUUCAGUGCGAGAAGUAGGUGACGAACAACGCCGCGAGCAUGAGCAGGUAGGCGAUCGCCUGAUCAAUCGCCUUGGCGUCGAUCACCCGCGCCGGCGCCGCCGCCGCCGCCGCCGCCGUCUGCGUCGCCGCGGCUUGCGCCAUGGACAGGUGCAUGAGGCCGGAGAGGAAGAAGGUGGUGAACAGCAGCAGGCAAGCCUUCAGGCUGGCCAUCUCAAUCCCUUAAUUACAGCUUAACACCUGAAAUGAAAGAACCCUAGACAAUUUUUGAGCUUCUUGAGGCUGGAUUGCUAACACCCUUCUGAUCGAUGUUCUUGGCAAUGCAAUGGAAUGAACAACCUGCUACGUAUAUAUAUAGCUGCAGAAGAAGCAACUGCCAGUGUGCUUUGUUUGAUCAGGACCUGUGACUCAAGAACUCCUGCAGAGAAUGCAUGGUGAAUGAAUGAAUGAAACCGUCAAUCUGUUUUGCCUGUCUGGCUCGUCAGGAUUGACUUGAUCUGAGGCCUCUCUUUGUCAA
RNAcentral lists this long non-coding RNA (1035 nucleotides) under Oryza brachyantha (malo sina). RNAcentral's name for it is "long non-coding RNA (OBRA_LNC000179)". Lineage: Eukaryota; Viridiplantae; Streptophyta; Magnoliopsida; Poales; Poaceae. The record is from RNAcentral.